Molecule: ribosomal RNA, 1222 nt
Filed under: Salmonella enterica
Lineage: Bacteria; Pseudomonadati; Pseudomonadota; Gammaproteobacteria; Enterobacterales; Enterobacteriaceae
Also listed under: 1 other name
Description: partial 23S ribosomal RNA
Rfam family: Bacterial large subunit ribosomal RNA
Source: RNAcentral
UUAACGGAGCGAAAGCGACGUUCAACCGCAAAAGAAGCAGAGGGGGCUUAGUGGUGGGGUGACUGCGUACCUUUUGUAUAAUGGGUCAGCGACUUAUAUUCUGUAGCAAGGUUAACCGAAUAGGGGAGCCGGAGGGAAACCGAGUCUUAACCGGGCGUUAAGUUGCAGGGUAUAGACCCGAAACCCGGUGAUCUAGCCAUGGGCAGGUUGAAGGUUGGGUAACACUAACUGGAGGACCGAACCGACUAAUGUUGAAAAAUUAGCGGAUGACCUGUGGCUGGGGGUGAAAGGCCAAUCAAACCGGGAGAUAGCUGGUUCUCCCCGAAAGCUAUUUAGGUAGCGCCUCGUGAAUUCAUCUCCGGGGGUAGAGCACUGUUUCGGCUAGGGGGCCAUCCCGGCUUACCAACCCGAUGCAAACUGCGAAUACCGGAGAAUGUUAUCACGGGAGACACACGGCGGGUGCUAACGUCCGUCGUGAAGAGGGAAACAACCCAGACCGCCAGCUAAGGUCCCAAAGUCAUGGUUAAGUGGGAAACGAUGUGGGAAGGCCCAGACAGCCAGGAUGUUGGCUUAGAAGCAGCCAUCAUUUAAAGAAAGCGUAAUAGCUCACUGGUCGAGUCGGCCUGCGCGGAAGAUGUAACGGGGCUAAACCAUGCACCGAAGCUGCGGCAGCGACGCUUAUGCGUUGUUGGGUAGGGGAGCGUUCUGUAAGCCUGUGAAGGUGGCCUGUGAGGGUUGCUGGAGGUAUCAGAAGUGCGAAUGCUGACAUAAGUAACGAUAAAGCGGGUGAAAAGCCCGCUCGCCGGAAGACCAAGGGUUCCUGUCCAACGUUAAUCGGGGCAGGGUGAGUCGACCCCUAAGGCGAGGCCGAAAGGCGUAGUCGAUGGGAAACGGGUUAAUAUUCCCGUACUUGGUGUUACUGCGAAGGGGGGACGGAGAAGGCUAUGUUGGCCGGGCGACGGUUGUCCCGGUUUAAGCGUGUAGGUGUGUGUUCCAGGUAAAUCCGGUUCACUUUAACACUGAGGCGUGAUGACGAGGCACUACGGUGCUGAAGUAACAAAUGCCCUGCUUCCAGGAAAAGCCUCUAAGCAUCAGGUAACAUCAAAUCGUACCCCAAACCGACACAGGUGGUCAGGUAGAGAAUACCAAGGCGCUUGAGAGAACUCGGGUGAAGGAACUAGGCAAAAUGGUGCCGUAACUUCGGGAGAAGGCACGCUGACAC